This 1561-nucleotide long non-coding RNA is filed under the name Homo sapiens (human). RNAcentral's name for it is "HSALNT0344966". Lineage: Eukaryota; Metazoa; Chordata; Mammalia; Primates; Hominidae. The record is from RNAcentral.
GCUGACUUCUGAGAUCUGAAAGAAGAGAUUGAUGCUGGGAGAGAGAGAAGCUUAAUGUUGAUAUUCAUCAGAGAUGAGCCCCUUGGCAUUGCAGCCUGAGACUUAUCAGAAAAGGUUCAAGUGAUUCUCCUGUCUCAGCCUCCCGAGUAGCUGGGGACUACAGAUGCGCACCACCAUGCCCGGCUAAUUUUUGUAUUUUUCGGCGGAGACAGGGUUUUACCGUGUUGCCCAGCUGGUCUCAAACUUCUGACCUCAAGUGAUUUGCCUGCCUUGGCCUCCCAGAAUGCUGGCAUUACAGGUGUGAGCCACCGCUCCAGGACUAUAUUAUCAAUCUCUAUCCGGUAAUUGCUUCCCUGGGAAGAGAGAAAGCCAACUAAAAUCAGAUCGAACGAAAAGGAAAGAAGAUUGGAUAUGAAAACCUACAGAGCCCAACAUUCCAGGACAUCGGAGUAGCCACUGAAGACAAUUUAGAAGGAAUGAUAGAAAGGCAACCACUUUUUCUCUUCAAAUCAAACCAAGGUUUUGGCAUACUAGAAAUGAAAAGCAGAGUUCCUCCUUUGUAAGUGCAGCUUGACCAGAUCAGAGAUUUGACUUUCCUGGGGGACUUUGUUUCUAGAGAUCAGUGUCUCUCUUCUGCUGUAUUAGAGAUAUUUUUCUCCUCCUAUUGAGUUCCGGUUGAAAUGUGAACCUCUGACACAUUAGUUCCCUGUAGCAUGGUCAAGACAAGGUUACUAGAUUUCCAUAAGACAUUCUUAAAUUCAGCAGCUUUUUUCAACCUAUCCCCCAGUCAACAGUAAUAACAUGAUGGGUGAUAUUCACUAGGGCCACAGAGGUAAAAAGCAACUAUAGGUACACAGAUUAAAAUAAAUGGUAAAACCUAUGUUACAUGUUAAACUCUAUCACAGGCACAAGGAAAAGUAAUUUUUGAAAAUAAAUUAAUUUGUUCUAUACAGGCAAAUUUCAGGAUUUCAGGGACAAAGAUGACAUUCUAAACACACACUCUUGGCUCUUUUUCUCUCUCAGUUUCUCAAAAAAAAUGACAAAAUAAUGUAAUUUAAAAAAUUCUAUAGAUUACUGAAGAUUAGAGAAGGGACUGACUCUGUUUGGAGGCAAGUCUCUGUGGGUUUCUUAUAUUUCUGUAUAUCUCACAAGCAGAGGCAAUGGCCACAUUGGUUCUGGACUAUCUUUUCAAGGAUGUUUGUAUAGCAAACAGUCUUGGAAGACAGAGAUAGUGCCUCCCAACAUAACAAAUGGCAGGCAUUAUAAAAGAUUCAGAUACCCUAAGCUCAGGGUUCCUCUCUUGUAACUCAACCCACUGCAUGUGAAGGAGACACCUGGUUGUCUUCUACUCACUCUGUGAGAUCUGAGACUCAGAGAAUCAGUACAAGAUAAAGCAAAUGCUCUAGCUACUGCUAUUGCUGUAAUAAAGUUCUUUGCCUCUGACCCAAGAGUCUCAUGUCUUCUGUCAACAUCCAUGAAACUGGUAGCUUAACCUGUUAAUUUGCAAGUAGAGUAAAAUCUCAGACCCUUUAUAACUCUUGAUAAUUUUGCUGACAUGGAU